Molecule: ribosomal RNA, 1502 nt
Filed under: wastewater metagenome
Description: bacterial LSU rRNA
Rfam family: Bacterial large subunit ribosomal RNA
Source: RNAcentral
GGUUUCCUGAUCAACGCUAAUCGGAUCAGGGUUAGUCGGGGCCUAAGACAAACCCGAAAGGGGUAGUCGAUGGACAACUGUUUAAUAUUACAGUACCAGCUUUCAUUAAAAAGGGGACGGAACAUUAUAAGAUUCGCGUACUGACGGAAUAGUACGUUAAAUCCUGUUAGGCAGGAGAUAGUACACCAAGCCUUCGGGUGAGGUGAUAGUAAUCGGAUCGUGUUUCCAAGAAAAGCCGAAGAAAGCUGCCCGUACCGCAAACCGACACAGGUAGUCGAGGAGAGAAUCCAAAGGUGCUCGAGUGAAUCAUGGCUAAGGAACUAGGCAAAUUAACCCUGUAACUUCGGGAGAAAGGGUCCCUACAGCAAUGUAGGGCGCAGUGAAACGGCCCAGGCGACUGUUUAUCAAAAACACAUGGCUCUGCUAAAUCGAAAGAUGACGUAUAGGGCCUGACACCUGCCCGGUGCUGGAAGGUUAAGAGGAGAGGUUAGGAGUAAUCCGAAGCUUUGAAUUGAAGCCCCAGUAAACGGCGGCCGUAACUAUAACGGUCCUAAGGUAGCGAAAUUCCUUGUCGGGUAAGUUCCGACCUGCACGAAUGGUGUAACGAUCUGGGCACUGUCUCAGCCAUGAACUCGGUGAAAUUGUAGAUCCGGUGAAGAUGCCGGAUACCCGCAACGGGACGAAAAGACCCCGUGAACCUUCACUACAGCUUAACAUUGACAUUGGAUAAACAAUGUGUAGGAUAGGUGGGAGGCUGCGAAGCGGUUUCGCCAGGAAUCGUGGAGCCACCGUUGAAAUACCACCCUUUGUUUAUUCGAUGCCUAAUCCCGGUUAUUCGGGAGACAGUGUUUGGUGGGUAGUUUGACUGGGGUGGUCGCCUCCAAAAGCGUAACGGAGGCUUCCAAAGGUACCCUCAGCAUGCUUGGUAACCAUGCGUAGAGUGCAAUAGCAUAAGGGUGCUUGACUGUGAGACUUACAAGUCGAGCAGGAACGAAAGUUGGGUAUAGUGAUCCGGCGGUUCCGUAUGGAAGGGCCGUCGCUCAAAGGAUAAAAGGUACUCCGGGGAUAACAGGCUGAUCACUCCCAAGAGCUCACAUCGACGGAGUGGUUUGGCACCUCGAUGUCGGCUCGUCACAUCCUGGGGCUGAAGAAGGUCCCAAGGGUUCGGCUGUUCGCCGAUUAAAGUGGCACGCGAGCUGGGUUCAGAACGUCGCGAGACAGUUCGGUCUCUAUCUGUUGUGGGCGUUGGAAACUUGAGAGGACCUGACCUUAGUACGAGAGGACCGGGUUGGACAAACCUCUGGUGUAUCUGUUGUAGCGCCAGCUGCAUCGCAGAGUAGCUAUGUUUGGAUGAGAUAAGUGCUGAAAGCAUCUAAGCACGAAACUCACCUCAAGAUGAGGUUUCCUUUAAGGGCCGUUCAAGACUAGGACGUUGAUAGGCUGCAGGUGUAAAGAUGGUAACAUCUGAGCCGAGCAGUACUAAUUGCCCGAAAGCUUUCUAC